AAUGCUGAGUAAGAAGCCAAAUAAAGAAGCAGAAGCCAUCACUAGCGCCGCCCUAAUUAAAUGCUCAACCCGUCAUUUUGAUCGCAACGAGUUUUCAUCUGCAUAUGGGAAGAUUUUCAUGGAGAAGAAUGCUGUAGCAUUCAGUUAAGUCUGAUUGCAAACCUCGUGAUGUAUUGAGCAUUUACUUAAUAUGCUGAUGGUGACUUCUGCCUCUUGAUUUGGUGCCUGAAUCAACAUU
Molecule: microRNA precursor, 238 nt
Filed under: Populus trichocarpa (black cottonwood)
Lineage: Eukaryota; Viridiplantae; Streptophyta; Magnoliopsida; Malpighiales; Salicaceae
Description: miR6439b stem-loop (ptc-MIR6439b)
Source: miRBase by way of RNAcentral